RNAcentral lists this ribosomal RNA (352 nucleotides) under actinobacterium R2A170. RNAcentral describes it as "bacterial SSU rRNA". It matches the Rfam family "Bacterial small subunit ribosomal RNA", at positions 20 to 372 of the family's 1533-position model. The record is from RNAcentral. Lineage: Bacteria; Bacillati; Actinomycetota; Actinomycetes.
UGGCUCAGGAUGAACGCUGGCGGCGUGCUUAACACAUGCAAGUCGAACGGUGAAGGAGAGCUUGCUCUCCGGAUCAGUGGCGAACGGGUGAGUAACACGUGAGCAAUCUGCCCCUGACUCUGGGAUAAGCGCUGGAAACGGCGUCUAAUACCGGAUACGAGCUGCGAAGGCAUCUUCAGCAGCUGGAAAGAACUUCGGUCAGGGAUGAGCUCGCGGCCUAUCAGCUAGUUGGUGAGGUAAUGGCUCACCAAGGCGUCGACGGGUAGCCGGCCUGAGAGGGUGACCGGCCACACUGGGACUGAGACACGGCCCAGACUCCUACGGGAGGCAGCAGUGGGGAAUAUUGCACAAU